UCAUCUCCGGGGGUAGAGCACUGUUUCGGCUAGGGGGCCAUCCCGGCUUACCAACCCGAUGCAAACUGCGAAUACCGGAGAAUGUUAUCACGGGAGACACACGGCGGGUGCUAACGUCCGUCGUGAAGAGGGAAACAACCCAGACCGCCAGCUAAGGUCCCAAAGUCAUGGUUAAGUGGGAAACGAUGUGGGAAGGCCCAGACAGCCAGGAUGUUGGCUUAGAAGCAGCCAUCAUUUAAAGAAAGCGUAAUAGCUCACUGGUCGAGUCGGCCUGCGCGGAAGAUGUAACGGGGCUAAACCAUGCACCGAAGCUGCGGCAGCGACGCUGAUGCGUUGUUGGGUAGGGGAGCGUUCUGUAAGCCUGUGAAGGUGGCCUGUGAGGGUUGCUGGAGGUAUCAGAAGUGCGAAUGCUGACAUAAGUAACGAUAAAGCGGGUGAAAAGCCCGCUCGCCGGAAGACCAAGGGUUCCUGUCCAACGUUAAUCGGGGCAGGGUGAGUCGACCCCUAAGGCGAGGCCGAAAGGCGUAGUCGAUGGGAAACGGGUUAAUAUUCCCGUACUUGGUGUUACUGCGAAGGGGGGACGGAGAAGGCUAUGUUGGCCGGGCGACGGUUGUCCCGGUUUAAGCGU
This 628-nucleotide ribosomal RNA is filed under the name Salmonella enterica subsp. enterica. Its description in RNAcentral is "partial 23S ribosomal RNA". It matches the Rfam family "Bacterial large subunit ribosomal RNA", at positions 890 to 1519 of the family's 2925-position model. Lineage: Bacteria; Pseudomonadati; Pseudomonadota; Gammaproteobacteria; Enterobacterales; Enterobacteriaceae. The record is from RNAcentral. RNAcentral also lists the same sequence under 1 other name.